UGGUGGGUAGCUCAAUCUGGUAGAGCAAUGAACAUCCUUAGUUCACAAGCUUGCCUGAAAAGGCUGAAGAAUCGAGGAUUAUCGUUAAUUCAUGAGUUGUAGGUUCAAAUCCUAUCCCACCAG
RNAcentral lists this transfer RNA (123 nucleotides) under Nostoc sp. PCC 7107. It matches the Rfam family "tRNA". Rfam says of the family: Transfer RNA (tRNA) molecules are approximately 80 nucleotides in length. Their secondary structure includes four short double-helical elements and three loops (D, anti-codon, and T loops). Lineage: Bacteria; Bacillati; Cyanobacteriota; Cyanophyceae; Nostocales; Nostocaceae. The record is from Rfam by way of RNAcentral.